Eptesicus fuscus (big brown bat) is the source of this 301-nucleotide long non-coding RNA. RefSeq lists it as uncharacterized. The record is from RefSeq and is a predicted model, not a curated record. Lineage: Eukaryota; Metazoa; Chordata; Mammalia; Chiroptera; Vespertilionidae. The transcript is spliced from 3 exons.
CUCAAUUCCUAUACCUUGUUAAACCCAUCUCUAAAUGAAGAUAAUAAUCCAAAUUGCUUCACUCAGUUGCUUUGAGAAUUAAUUUCUUUGGAAAUCAAAGUUCUGUAGCUUUCAAAAAAUUAAUGCAAAAUGCUCAGCACAAUGGCCACAUGGGAUUCUUGUGUGUUCCUGGGACUCUACCCCAUUGACAAAGCCACUUCCAGACUUCCGGGCUCCGGGAAGAAACAAGGAUGAAGAAAGAACAUAAAGGUUACCUGGGCUGGAAAAGGAGAGAAAAAUCAGACAGAGGAAGAGAGAUUAG